CUUGGUCAUUUAGAGGAAGUAAAAGUCGUAACAAGGUCUCCGUUGGUGAACCAGCGGAGGGAUCAUUACAGAGUUGCAAAACUCCCAACCCUUUGUGAACGAACCUACCAGUUGCCUCGGCGGCGAGCCUUUCAGGCGGACCGCCGAAGGAAUACAAACUCUUUGCAUUAUAGUAUCUCUGAUUACUUAUUCAAUAAGUUAAAACUUUCAACAACGGAUCUCUUGGUUCUGGCAUCGAUGAAGAACGCAGCGAAAUGCGAUAAGUAAUGUGGAUUGCGGAAUUCAGUGAAUCAUCGAAUCUUUGAACGCACAUUGCGCCCGCUAGUAUUCUGGCGGGCAUGCCUGUUCGAGCGUCAUUUCAACCAUCAAGCCCUAGGCUUGUGUUGGAGCCCUGCGGCUGCCGCAGCCUCCUAAAAACAGUGGCGGGCUCGCUAUCACACCGAGUGCAGUAGUUUACUCUUCGCUCAGGGCGUGUGGCGGGUGCUGGCCGUGAAACCCCCUACUUUUUAAGGUUGACCUCGGAUCAGGUAGGAAUACCCGCUGAACUUAAGCAUAUCAAUAAGCGGAGGA
This 570-nucleotide ribosomal RNA is filed under the name uncultured Ascomycota. RNAcentral describes it as "eukaryotic LSU rRNA". The stretch from base 203 to 356 matches the Rfam family "5.8S ribosomal RNA". The record is from RNAcentral. Lineage: Eukaryota; Fungi; Ascomycota.